UUGGGUGACCAUAGCGUGAGGGUCCCACCCGUUCCCAUACCGAACACGGAAGUUAAGCCUCACUGCCCCGAUGGUACUGCACGGGCGACUGUGUGGGAGAGUAGGACGUUGCC
RNAcentral lists this ribosomal RNA (113 nucleotides) under Bryobacter aggregatus. Lineage: Bacteria; Pseudomonadati; Acidobacteriota; Terriglobia; Bryobacterales; Bryobacteraceae. The record is from RNAcentral.